UACGGGGGGAGCAAGCGUUGUUCGGAUUUACUGGGCGUAAAGAGCGCGUAGGCGGCCACCGCAAGUCGACUGUGAAAUCUCUGGGCUUAACCCAGAACGGUCAGCCGAUACUGCGGGGCUAGAGUGCAGAAGGGGCAACUGGAAUUCUCGGUGUAGCGGUGAAAUGCGUAGAUAUCGAGAGGAACACCUGCGGCGAAGGCGGGUUGCUGGGCUGACACUGACGCUGAGGCGCGAAAGCUAGGGGAGCGAACGGG
This 254-nucleotide ribosomal RNA is filed under the name uncultured bacterium. RNAcentral's name for it is "partial 16S ribosomal RNA". It matches the Rfam family "Bacterial small subunit ribosomal RNA", at positions 524 to 776 of the family's 1533-position model. The record is from RNAcentral.